RNAcentral lists this ribosomal RNA (521 nucleotides) under uncultured bacterium. RNAcentral's name for it is "bacterial SSU rRNA". It matches the Rfam family "Bacterial small subunit ribosomal RNA", at positions 828 to 1354 of the family's 1533-position model. The record is from RNAcentral.
UCUUCAUUGACUUGGUAACGUAGCUAACGCGUGAAGUUGACCGCCUGGGGAGUACGGUCGCAAGAUUAAAACUCAAAGGAAUUGACGGGGACCCGCACAAGCGGUGGAUGAUGUGGAUUAAUUCGAUGCAACGCGAAAAACCUUACCUACCCUUGACAUGUAUGGAAUCCUGCUGAGAGGUGGGAGUGCCCGAAAGGGAGCCAUAACACAGGUGCUGCAUGGCUGUCGUCAGCUCGUGUCGUGAGAUGUUGGGUUAAGUCCCGCAACGAGCGCAACCCUUGUCCCUAGUUGCUACGCAAGAGCACUCUAGGGAGACUGCCGGUGACAAACCGGAGGAAGGUGGGGAUGACGUCAAGUCCUCAUGGCCCUUAUGGGUAGGGCUUCACACGUCAUACAAUGGUCGGAACAGAGGGUCGCCAACCCGCGAGGGGGAGCCAAUCCCAGAAAACCGAUCGUAGUCCGGAUCGCACUCUGCAACUCGAGUGCGUGAAGCUGGAAUCGCUAGUAAUCGCGGAUCAGCA